Molecule: ribosomal RNA, 254 nt
Filed under: uncultured Planctomycetales bacterium
Lineage: Bacteria; Pseudomonadati; Planctomycetota; Planctomycetia; Planctomycetales
Also listed under: 1 other name
Description: partial 16S ribosomal RNA
Rfam family: Bacterial small subunit ribosomal RNA
Source: RNAcentral
GUGGGUUUGUAAGUCGGAUGUGAAAUCCCUCGGCUCAACCGGGGAACGGCGUUGGAUACUGCGUGCCUGGAGGGCGGAAGGGGAAAGUGGAAUUCUUGGUGGAGCGGUGAAAUGCGUAGAUAUCAAGAGGAACGCCGGUGGCGAAAGCGACCCUCUGGCCCGUUUCUGACGCUGAGGCGCGAAAGCUAGGGGAGCAAACGGGAUUAGAUACCCCGGUAGUCCUGGCCCUAAACGAUGGGCACUAAGUAGAGGGG